This 450-nucleotide ribosomal RNA is filed under the name uncultured Hyphomicrobiales bacterium. RNAcentral's name for it is "uncultured Rhizobiales bacterium partial 16S ribosomal RNA". Lineage: Bacteria; Pseudomonadati; Pseudomonadota; Alphaproteobacteria; Hyphomicrobiales. The record is from RNAcentral.
CACGAAGUUAGCCGGGGCUUCUUCUCCGGUUACCGUCAUUAUCUUCACCGGUGAAAGAGCUUUACAAUCCUAAGACCUUCAUCACUCACGCGGCAUGGCUGGAUCAGGCUUGCGCCCAUUGUCCAAUAUUCCCCACUGCCGCCUCCCGUAGGAGUUUGGGCCGUGUCUCAGUCCCAAUGUGGCUGAUCAUCCUCUCAGACCAGCUAUGGAUCGUCGCCUUGGUAGGCCUUUACCCCACCAACUAGCUAAUCCAACGCGGGCUCAUCAUACCCCGAUAAAUCUUUCCCCCGUAGGGCGUAUACGGUAUUAAUUCCAGUUUCCCGGAGCUAUUCCGUAGGGCACGGUAGAUUCCCACGCGUUACUCACCCGUCUGCCGCUCCCCUUGCGGGCGCUCGACUUGCAUGUGUUAAGCCUGCCGCCAGCGUUCGUUCUGAGCCAGGAUCAAACUCU